Molecule: ribosomal RNA, 338 nt
Filed under: uncultured bacterium
Lineage: Bacteria
Description: bacterial SSU rRNA
Rfam family: Bacterial small subunit ribosomal RNA
Source: RNAcentral
AACGAACGCUGGCGGCGCGCUUUAAGCAUGCAAGUCGAGCGGUAAGGUCCUUCGGGACCCCAGAGCGGCGGACGGGUGAGUAACACGUGGAUAAUCUGCCUCUCAGUCCGGGAUAGCACAUGGAAACAUGUGAUAAUACCGGAUACGAUGUGCCUGUCACAUGGCGGGUACAGGAAAGGUCCUGCGGGAUCGCUGGGAGAUGAGUCCGCGGCCCAUUAGCUUGUUGGCGGGGUAAAGGCCCACCAAGGCGACGAUGGGUAGCCGGCCUGAGAGGGUGGACGGCCACAUUGGGACUGGAGACACCGGCCAGACCUCCGUACGGGAGCAGCAGCUAAGAU